GGACUACCGGGGUUUCUAAUCCUGUUUGAUCCCCACGCUUUCGUGCCUCAGCGUCAAUCUUCGUUUAGCCCGCUGCCUUCGCAAUCGGUGUUCUAUGUCAUAUCUAUGCAUUUCACCGCUACAUGACAUAUUCCGCAAACCUCAACGAUAUUCAAGACUAAUAGUAUCCAAGGCAGUUUCCGAGUUAAGCUCGGAGAUUUCACCUCGGACUUAAUAGCCCGCCUACACACCCUUUAAACCCAGUGAAUCCGGAUAACGCUUGCACCCUCCGUAUUACCGCGGCUGCUGGCAC
RNAcentral lists this ribosomal RNA (292 nucleotides) under uncultured bacterium. RNAcentral describes it as "partial 16S ribosomal RNA". RNAcentral also lists the same sequence under 1 other name. The record is from RNAcentral.